AAAAAACACCAGUUCUCAUUUGAUCACUGAAGUUGAGCAGUGUUGAGCUUCGUCAGUACUGAGAUGAGUGACUGCAUCAGAACACUGGCUACUGUA
Non-coding RNA from Acanthosepion pharaonis, 96 nucleotides. The record is from the annotation of a GenBank genome assembly. Lineage: Eukaryota; Metazoa; Mollusca; Cephalopoda; Sepiida; Sepiidae.